AGUGAACGCUGGCGGUAGGCCUAACACAUGCAAGUCGAACGGCAGCACAGUAAGAGCUUGCUCUUACGGGUGGCGAGUGGCGGACGGGUGAGGAAUACAUCGGAAUCUACUUUUUCGUGGGGGAUAACGUAGGGAAACUUACGCUAAUACCGCAUACGACCUACGGGUGAAAGCAGGGGAUCUUCGGACCUUGCGCGAUUGAAUGGGCCGAUGUCGGAUUAGCUAGUUGGCGGGGUAAAGGCCCACCAAGGCGACGAUCCGUAGCUGGUCUGAGAGGAUGAUCAGCCACACUGAAACUGAGACACGGUCCAGACUCCUACGGGAGGCAGCAGUGGGGAAUAUUGGACAAUGGGCGCAAGCCUGAUCCAGCCAUACUGCGUGGGUGAAGAAGGCCUUCGGGUUGUAAAGCCCUUUUGUUGGGAAAGAAAAGCAGCAGGUUAAUACCCCGCUGUUCUGACGGUACCCAAAGAAUAAGCACCGGCUAACUUCGUG
This 492-nucleotide ribosomal RNA is filed under the name uncultured bacterium. RNAcentral's name for it is "partial 16S ribosomal RNA". It matches the Rfam family "Bacterial small subunit ribosomal RNA", at positions 29 to 507 of the family's 1533-position model. The record is from RNAcentral.